CCUAGAAGUCUGUCUUUUGCUGUCACCAAUAAUGCUUCUACUGAUAUCCAAGAACGAGCUAAGUAGAGGAACGUUCUAGUCUUAUCAACCUACCACAGAGUAUCAAACAGUCUAAUAAUUUCAUGAUAGUGUUUAAUCACACAGGUAUUGAUGCCAUUUAUUGACUUCAGUGGAGUUGCAUCCAUUUAUGCCAGCAGUUAAUUUGGUGUUUGGAUACAGCAGUAACCAUUUAUCUUUUUAAGCUUAGUACUACUUUGUUUGGUCUGUCAUGCUGGGCUCCAUCCUUACAAGCAAUGGCGACAACACUGUUUAACCAUUUACUACUGUUGCUCAAUAUAGGUGCUCAUUAAAUCUUUGGAAAGUUGAAUCUCUUUUUUUAUAUUCCCCUUCCCUUGGGAGUAUCUCUCAAAGAACAGUCAUUUGGUUUUCUAAAGACACAUGGAGGACUUCUGUGCAGGAAGGUCUGCUUCUCUGAAAUAUAGUACAGAGUCCUGUUCCCUAACUUUUGCUUCACUCAUGCUUCCCUAUUGCACAAUCACAGUCUUCUGGGGAGGUUUAAAGUAGGAGAGGAUAUGGCUCUCCUGGUACUCAGGAGUGGCAGGAGGGAAGGGAAGGGAGAGAGAAGGGGAAGGGACUGCUAGGAGAAAUCAAUCCAAUACCAGAUGGAAGGAUGUUAAAGUACCUCCACCUGAGGCAGCAAUCUUCACACCAUGAGUACAGGCUUUAUUUCCCUCAGGAAACUUAACAAUGAAAUCCAGAGUAAAUGAUUUAUACUAAUGGAAUCAAUGCUAACAGUCUGAGGAGCCAAUAAAACACACAAUAGUAGCCAGUAAAAACACAAAAGGUGGGCAGCCCACCCUGAGUGGCUUUAUUUACACUAAAAAGGGGGUAAAAAAGCUUGCAUUUAAAAUAUUGGGUAAAUCGCUCUCUCUCUCACAAAGGCUAAUACAUAUACAAAAAUUCUACAUUUCAACUUUUUCUCACAACCCACUAAAUGUCGUCCGUCGUGUCUCCCCCCCCCCCC
This is a long non-coding RNA of Dermochelys coriacea (leatherback sea turtle), 1024 nucleotides long. RefSeq lists it as uncharacterized. The record is from RefSeq and is a predicted model, not a curated record. Lineage: Eukaryota; Metazoa; Chordata; Testudines; Dermochelyidae. The transcript has 2 exons.